UGCCUUCAAUUUGAUUGCACAGGUACCACAGC
Molecule: non-coding RNA, 32 nt
Filed under: Homo sapiens (human)
Lineage: Eukaryota; Metazoa; Chordata; Mammalia; Primates; Hominidae
Source: RNAcentral